RNAcentral lists this ribosomal RNA (372 nucleotides) under uncultured Glomeromycotina. RNAcentral's name for it is "LSU rRNA". The record is from RNAcentral. Lineage: Eukaryota; Fungi; Glomeromycota.
UUGAAAGGGAAACGAUUGAAGUCAGUCGUACCGACGAAGGAUCAACUUUUGGAAUGCGAAUUGGGGUAUUCGAGGAGUUUAAAAGCCUUCGUGUGCUCAUGUAUUCGUGCUUCUUGGGUGCACUUCUUCGUAUUGGUAGGUUAACAUCAAUUUUGGACGUUACAAAAUGACUGGGGGAAUGUAGCUUCGAUUUUUCGAAGUGUUAUAGCCCUUGGUAGAUGUGACGACCGGGAUUGAGGAUUGCAACGAAUGCUUUCGGGCUAUCCGUCUGACCUCUGAUACGUGGCCUUGGUAUCGAAAGCUUGCUUAUGGUAUUAAGGUAUUACGGUCAAAAGGUUAGAACGGAUUACAUUCGUUAAGGAUGUUGACGUA